GUUUGCCUACGGGAGGCAGCAGUGGGGAAUAUUGGGCAAUGGGCGCAAGCCUGACCCAGCAAUGCCGCGUGAAGGAAGAAGGCUUUCGGGUUGUAAACUUCUUUGACAGGGGAAGAGCAGAAGACGGUACCCUGAAAACAAGCCACGGCUAACUACGUGCCAGCAGCCGCGGUAAUACGUAGGUGGCAAGCGUUGUCCGGAUUUACUGGGUGUAAAGGGCGUGUAGCCGGGAAGGCAAGUCAGAUGCGAAAUCCUGAGGCUCAACCUCCGAAUUGCAUUUGAAACUGUUUUUUGUGAGUACUGGG
This 305-nucleotide ribosomal RNA is filed under the name uncultured bacterium. RNAcentral's name for it is "bacterial SSU rRNA". It matches the Rfam family "Bacterial small subunit ribosomal RNA", at positions 333 to 653 of the family's 1533-position model. The record is from RNAcentral.